UGAAAGGGCUUAAGCUGUUUACUUUAUGUAAUAGGCAUUAAAUUAUUGUUUAAUGAAGAUCGCUAUCAAGAGAUCUCUUAAGCAUAAUUUUUUGUGAAGGAGCAGUUGAGUUUAAAACUUGGCGCUCCG
This is a small nuclear RNA of Trichinella sp. T6, 129 nucleotides long. It matches the Rfam family "U11 spliceosomal RNA". The record is from Rfam. Lineage: Eukaryota; Metazoa; Nematoda; Enoplea; Trichinellida; Trichinellidae.